Molecule: RNA transcript, 1805 nt
Organism: Ixodes scapularis (black-legged tick)
Lineage: Eukaryota; Metazoa; Arthropoda; Arachnida; Ixodida; Ixodidae
Gene name: zinc finger protein 670-like
Exons: 1
Source: RefSeq, a predicted model, not a curated record
UGCUUGCGUGUUGGCAUUGGACUUUCACUGUCGUUGACGCUUCUUGUUUCUCACGUCUCACCUACAGUGCCGGGCAAAGCAGCCUUAUGGGACGAUGGGGACAGCCAGAGCGACUUCCCUUGCCCUACAGGAGAACUGGUUGAGUCGCAACCCACGAGGCGGUCACGACACGAGGGCGUGUACGACUGCGAGUCGUACACGCCCUCGUGUACGACUCGCACGUACACUGGUCGUACACGCCCUCGUGUACGACCAGGCACGAAAGGACACACACAGGAGAGAAGCCUUUCCACUGCUCUGUCUGCAAGAGAGCGUUUACUCUAAUCUGUAACUUACGCACUCACAUCAGGACUCACACGGGAAAGAAACCAUUUCGCUGCGAGGUUUGCCAGAAGGCGUUCACCAGACCUUAUGUCCUGAGGAUUCACAAAAGACUCCAUACGGGCGAGAAACCAUACCAGUGUGGCACCUGCGAGAAAGCAUUUUCAGUUAAAUCCAGGUUGUUGAUUCACGAACGAACCCACAGUGGGGAGCAGCCCUACAAGUGCGAAGCCUGCGGGAAAAUGUUUAAACAGAGUAGCAAUUUAAGUACUCACCGGAAAAAAGUUCACAAGUGAGGGAUCUGUGUCAUGCAAUAUCUGAAGGUAUGGAAGUAUAAUUUCAUGUCUCACCGUGUGCUUCACUGCCUGUGUGCUGUCUAUUCAAAUGAAGUUUAGAAAUGGAGCCAUAUUUAUCAGCUUUUAACGUGAGUUGCUAUUAGGCAACAGCUGCAGUACUACCAUGUAUCAUUUUUUGUUUUGAAUGGCCUCGCUUAAUUGAGUUUAAACACUAAACAAAGGGUAGUUUGUACACCUCUUGUCACAUAUACGAUGUGCCAAAACUUCCGACGUCAAAAUGACGACCCCAACUUUUAUGAGAGGCUUGAUGAUGGUGUGAUAUAAGAUAUUAAACAGCUAAAGUAUGCAUCAAAGACUACAGAAAAAAAACAAAUAAAAACACAGGUUUUGCACUGGGGCCAAGAAGAUCCUGAUUACUUUUUUUACAGUCAGUUAAGCUAUUUUAUAAAUUCAGAGUCUCUUAUGUUACCCCUGAAGGCAAAAGCCCAAGCGCCGAUGCAUUAAAGACAGACAUGAUUUACGGGUGUGGCGGUCGGAGGGGUGCCACGUCGGACUACUAAACGUAUGGUCGCUGGUUCGAUGCCAGCCGAGGCAGAAGAGCGUAUAUUCUUUUCAGAGGAAUAUUAAAAUUUGCAGACGUCACGUAAACGUCUUGGUACCUUUCAUGUCCCCGACAUGUUUUCGCUCAAGGACUUUGAAGGUUGACCGAGCGAUAAGACAUAAGGCUUUCGCCUUGAGUGUACAACUCGGCUAUCAAGCCACCCGUGAAAGUUGGUAGCGUCGGUUGAACGUUGGUGCGCUGUACGUCCAAAUGAAGUUUAGGGGUGUCAUAUGUGACAAGGAGUGUACCGGUUACACCCCUUUUUUUGUGUGUAGCUGCUUUUAACUUUGAGAUCAUUGUCGUUUUAUGAUGUAUAGAGCUACUUUAACUGUUCAUUUUGAGCGUAUGAGGAGCAUUGGGUUUUAUUAAGGCACCUUGAUUCCUAUGUAUGAAUUUUUGUGACGACAUUUUGAAAAGUAAUUCCGCCUAGGUAAGUUCUCUGGAUUUCCUUACAAUUUAACCUAGCUUUGACACUUUGCUCCAGGUUGAAUUGUGUUCCUGAAGUUGUAAAAAGAAAUGUGCCAGUUACUGUACUCUGUUCUUUGUGGAUUCAGUGUAUCACAAAUAAACUACUUUCCUAGCUAAAA